AACGAACGCUGGCGGCAUGCCUAACACAUGCAAGUCGAACGAAGCCUUCGGGCUUAGUGGCGCACGGGUGCGUAACGCGUGGGAAUCUGCCCUUGGGUUCGGAAUAACAGUUAGAAAUGACUGCUAAUACCGGAUGAUGUCUUCGGACCAAAGAUUUAUCGCCCAAGGAUGAGCCCGCGUAGGAUUAGCUAGUUGGUGGGGUAAUGGCCCACCAAGGCGACGAUCCUUAGCNGGUCUGAGAGGAUGAUCAGCCACACUGGGACUGAGACACGGCCCAGACUCCUACGGGAGGCAGCAGUGGGGAAUAUUGGACAAUGGGCGCAAGCCUGAUCCAGCAAUGCCGCGUGAGUGAUGAAGGCCUUCGGUUGUAAG
This 372-nucleotide ribosomal RNA is filed under the name uncultured bacterium. RNAcentral describes it as "bacterial SSU rRNA". It matches the Rfam family "Bacterial small subunit ribosomal RNA", at positions 29 to 429 of the family's 1533-position model. The record is from RNAcentral.